This is a long non-coding RNA of Clarias gariepinus (North African catfish), 459 nucleotides long. RefSeq lists it as uncharacterized. The record is from RefSeq and is a predicted model, not a curated record. The transcript is spliced from 3 exons. NCBI's taxonomy places the organism in Eukaryota, Metazoa, Chordata, Actinopteri, Siluriformes, Clariidae.
CUUGCAUGUUACCGACUCGGUCUCUUGGUAGUAGUUUGAUGCGUCACCUUGGAACACCAGUGUUGUUAGCUAAGACAGAAAUUUAGAAACUCGCCACCUGCAGCUUUUCCCAGCUCGAUAGCAACCUGCAUUGUAACAAUCUGAAGCAAUUCAUUAUGGAAUAUUCCUGAAGAUCCACCUGGAAUAUUUUCUUGUAUGGUCUUCUUUUCUCUUACACGCUUCUUAACUUCCCUCAUUACCCUGUGUAGUGUCAGUGAUGUCAAUUCGCCAGAGUCUCUAAGUGCUCGACUGACAGGAAGAGUGUUUAUCUCGGACCUUACAUCAGAGCCCAUACUUCGACACAGGGCUUGCUGGUGAGUCAGCAGCUAAAAUCUGCAGUCCUACACUACUACAGAAAGAAGUACCAAGCUUUACAAGAGACUUUUCUAGUGAAUACCGGAACUCGCACACGGUCACGGG